GCUUGGCUCUACAUUCAUUGUUGGAGGAAUCCAAGCCUCACAAAAGACUGCUUUUAAAGAAAAAAACUCUUUUUUUCUUAGAAGAACUAGAUUAAACUAAGAUCCUUUGCCAGUAAAAAGACAAACAAUAGAAAAUUCCUACAGAUUAAGAAUACCAACCAAGCUUUCAAUGAACUUACUUGCUUCAGCUCUGGGAGAACAGUUAUGACAUGGUGCUGAAUUACAUCAGUGAGCAACUAGAGGCAAGGAACCUGAGGUCCAGAGAUGUGAAGAGAGGUGGCCAAUGUCACACAGCAUGGCAGG
Molecule: long non-coding RNA, 303 nt
Organism: Symphalangus syndactylus (siamang)
Lineage: Eukaryota; Metazoa; Chordata; Mammalia; Primates; Hylobatidae
Source: RefSeq, a predicted model, not a curated record